RNAcentral lists this unclassified non-coding RNA (310 nucleotides) under plant metagenome. RNAcentral's name for it is "partial contains 5.8S ribosomal RNA, internal transcribed spacer 2, and large subunit ribosomal RNA". The stretch from base 1 to 105 matches the Rfam family "5.8S ribosomal RNA", at positions 50 to 154 of the family's 154-position model. The record is from RNAcentral.
GAAAUGCGAUAAGUAAUGUGAAUUGCAGAAUUCAGUGAAUCAUCGAAUCUUUGAACGCACAUUGCGCCCGCCAGCAUUCUGGCGGGCAUGCCUGUUCGAGCGUCAUUUCAACCCUCGAGCCCCCCCGGGGGCCUCGGUGUUGGGGGACGGCACACCAGCCGCCCCCGAAAUGCAGUGGCGACCCCGCCGCAGCCUCCCCUGCGUAGUAGCACACACCUCGCACCGGAGCGCGGAGGCGGUCACGCCGUAAAACGCCCAACUUUCUUAGAGUUGACCCCGGAUCAGGUAGGAAUACCCGCUGAACUUAAGC